This 386-nucleotide ribosomal RNA is filed under the name uncultured bacterium. RNAcentral describes it as "bacterial SSU rRNA". It matches the Rfam family "Bacterial small subunit ribosomal RNA", at positions 28 to 417 of the family's 1533-position model. The record is from RNAcentral.
GACGAACGCUGGCGGCGUGCUUAACACAUGCAAGUCGAGCGGUAAGGCCCUUUCGGGGGUACACGAGCGGCGAACGGGUGAGUAACACGUGGGUGACCUGCCCUUAGCUCUGGGAUAAGCCUGGGAAACUGGGUCUAAUACCGGAUAUGACUCCAUGACGCAUGUUGUGGGGUGGAAAGCCUUGUGCGGCUAGGGAUGGGCCCGCGGCCUAUCAGCCUGUUGGUGGGGUGAGGCCUACCAAGGCGACGACGGGUAGCCGGCCUGAGAGGGCGACCGGCCACACUGGGACUGAGACACGGCCCAGACUCCUACGGGAGGCAGCAGUGGGGAAUCUUGCGCAAUGGGCGAAAGCCUGACGCAGCGACGCCGCGUGGGGAUGACGGCCU